This 292-nucleotide ribosomal RNA is filed under the name uncultured bacterium. RNAcentral's name for it is "partial 16S ribosomal RNA". It matches the Rfam family "Bacterial small subunit ribosomal RNA", at positions 505 to 796 of the family's 1533-position model. The record is from RNAcentral.
GUGUCAGCAGCCGCGGUAAUACAGAGGUCUCAAGCGUUGUUCGGAUUCAUUGGGCGUAAAGGGUGCGUAGGUGGCGAUGUAAGUCUGGUGUGAAAUCUCGGGGCUCAACCUCGAAAUUGCAUUGGAUACUGCGUUGCUUGAGGAUUGUAGAGGAGAGUGGAAUUCACGGUGUAGCAGUGAAAUGCGUAGAUAUCGUGAGGAAGACCAGUUGCGAAGGCGACUCUCUGGGCAAUUCCUGACACUGAGGCACGAAGGCCAGGGGAGCAAACGGGAUUAGAAACCCGGGUAGUCC